GGCAUCGUGGGUACAGGUAGCACACGUGUUCCAGAAUGGCACAUGCCUGCACACCAAGCGUCUCCUUGCCCGCGUGUGCAGUUGCCCUUAUGUGUCCUUCCUCCACUGGGCACACCUCUCGGGUGUCCCCAGGUGUCCACGCCUAGCUGUGUAAGCGCUCAUCUGCAGGCAAGGGUUUAUUUCUUCACCACACACAUGUAUGUAGCGUUUGCUCAGGCCCAUCUACGUGCUUUACAACUGCGAAUUCGUUUCACCCGCUAACGACACUGAGACGCCCACUUCUAUUAGCCCAUCGUCCAGAUGAGCAAACAGCCCUGGAGAACUUAGGUCACUUGCUCAAGGCCACACGUCCGUGCAGUGUAGGCCAAGAUUCAGUCCCCCUCCACGGCUCUGAACCCGAUCUGAUGCCGUGCCCGUGAAGGUGUGUGGGCCUGCGCCGGGCUCACCGUGUAAAUGCGUGCAGGCGUGGGUACACCUUCUCAGUGUGCACACGAGACCACGUUCUCCAGGUCAUGGGUGCACAACCUCCAUGUGCGCGGAAGGACUCAGGUGCUGGAGAACAGGCUUGUGUCUGCACACGCACACCACUCACACACACAUACGUACACGCUCACAUGGGCCCUCAGUCUCCAUCUCAAGUCCCAGGCUCCAGCUCCCUUUCCCAGAGCCCCUUCCAGAUUGUUCUCCAUUUCCUCACUCUCAGUCCGCUGGAGAGGGAAGUGAAUCUACGGGUCUGGACUCGCCUGCCUCGGCCACCCCUGCUCACCCGCUUGCUGGCUCUGUGGGGGGCCUGGAGCCCCAGAGCUCUUCCCUCUGCCAGAGCCCCCACUGGGCUCCCUUCCCGCCCAUCUUCUGGGCUGGUCCGCACCCCAGGAAUCUGGGCUCCUCCAGGCUGCACUGGGCUGGGGACAGGACGCAUCCCCGGGGAGCAGAGUGACUGGACCGGAGGCCUCCCACGUGUUCCUGGCAGGAAACGCAUUUCCUCCUCUGGCCCUUCUCUUCCAGGCACUUGUCCCUCGCCUCCCUUCCAGCUCAUCUGCCCGCCCCCACCCCGCUGGGCUUCUGCGUCUGACCGUCAGCGGCUCCCAGCCCUGCCCAGUUUCAAGCCUGGGCUUGUGGGCCUGGGCGAGACUCUCCUGAAUUGGCCUCAUCAGAAGUACCCAGACUUCGAGCCAAGACCCCAGCGUCCUUGGCCUCCGCCCUGGGCCACCGGCACCUUUACCUGUCUCUGCGCCUUGCUUGGCUCACCCCCGUAUCCACUCUUUCCCUCUCCAGACGUUCCCAGCCAGGAGCCAGGGCCCAGGUCCUCCCUCUGCACUCAGCCGUCACCGGCCGCUCCUGGUCUCCGUGCCUCCUCCCUCUCUCCCUCCCUCCCGUGUGCUGCCAGCUCCAGGCCUGGCCCUUUGUUCCAGCUGAUGGCUGGUGCUGCCCGAGCACUGCUGCUCCCAGAGCCGUGGGCUUUCCCUGACCUUGUAACUUUGCUUUUGGUGAAUUUUGGUUCUUCAUCAAGAUGCUCUGCUGCCCUCCCCCCUUUCCCUCCCCUCCCCCCUUUCCCUCCCCCCUCUCUUUUUCUCCCUCUUGUUUUUCUGUGGCUGGGCUUUCGCCCAGAGGCUGUGGCCCGGAGCCUGGGCCUGUUCCCUCCGAGCUGUCACUUUAGGUACUUCAACAGCCUGACCCCUGGGCUGUUUUGCCUGCGACAAUCCCUGUUAACACGUGUCGUCCUGGGGUCAUUCUCAGUUGUGCCCCAUUUCAUUUUGUCCCCCAGAGUGUCCUGGGUUGGUCAGUAGAGGACGCGGUCAGCUUAUGUGUGGAGCGUUUAGGACAGUCCUGAGCACAGGAUCCAUGGGAUCGAUGGCUGGGGAGGUGACACAGCCACAGAGGAUCAGCUUGGGUGGCCUGGGGGUGCCUUAGUCACUGCGGAACAGAGACCUCAGCUCAUUCGCCCACUGCCCUGGGCCUCUCACAUGCCAGGCACUGGAGCAUCGUGCUGGGGGUGGGGUGAUGAGGAGGGAGACAGGGACACCGCCAGCAGCUCUGGAAAAUGAAGUCACGCCCAGGACUCGCCCUCGUAAGAAAUGCAAAGCAUUACCGCUGGGAUCGUGUUCCCCUUGCUUUGUUUGGCAAAUUAUGACAGUAUGUCACUGACCCAGCACAUUCUGAUUACCUAUUGUUCAAAUGAAAAAAAAGCAAAACAAAAACAAAAAGCAGGCCAGAAAACCGCUUCUGGUUAUGUGAUCGGUAUUUAGAAGUUUCCAUUCCAGAGUAGGCCUCAGGGCAGGGCCAGUCCCCAGGCUGUGUGGAGCCUUCACUGUCCCCAAGAUGCCAGGUAAUCGGCUUAUCUUUGCUGUACCUCCGUCGCACCCUGUCCCCCUGUCCCCGUCCUUAGCUGCGUGUGAAGGAUGUCAUGGGCCGUGGCUCUCCCAGGCAGGCAGCCUGCUCCGGCCACUGGUGGCGUUUUCUCGCAAACCUGCCCUUGUUCAGCGCGUGCUCAACGUGGAGGCUGAAGGGCACAGCUCUGGGUAGGGUUGACCAGCUCACCCCUCUUUGCCCAGGACUGUCCUCAUUUUAAAACUGGGAGUCUCAAGUCCUGGGAAAAUUGGACAGCUGGUCACCCUCCAGGAGCGAGUGAAGCCAGCCCUGUGUCCCCACGGUCAGCUCUGCUGUGUGAUGGCAGGUCCGUUGCUUGGGCACUCCGAGCCUCCGUUUCCUCUCCUGCGCAAGAGGCUUAACGGAGCCUGUCUCACAGGAUCACUGUGAGGUUCAGUAGUUAUGACGCCUCGCGAGUGGCGUGAGCCCUCCUUCCCCACUGGUGAUGAGUUACCUUAAGAUUUCUCCUGUGGGGCUUAGGCAGUAGUUGUUUUCCGGUGGUCCGAGUGGACCACCAGUCUCCCUUUAGAUGCCAGUCUGACCAUCUUAUCUUGGGGUGGCUGUAUGGAAGUGAAUUCUGAAUUCAGCCCUUGCCUUCUCCUCUAAGGCUUUUUGCAGCCAGUGCCCCCCGCCCCCCAUGCCCCCAGUUCCCUGAGCCAGCCCCUGGCCCGUGUGUAACCUGGACAUCACCUGGGAACAGGCAGGAGUGGACGAGGAGCUGACAGUUAUUGAGCCCCUUCACAUGUGGCAUCACGGGCUACGUGCUUCAUGUUUAAAUCCUCCCACGAAAAUCCUUACUUUCCAGAUGGAGACUUGAGGCUUGGGAAGGUGGAAUUAUUUCCCCAUCAUUAGAAAAACGUGUAAGCAGUGAGAUCCUGCUGUACAGUCCUGGGAACUAUAUCUAGUCACUUAUGAUGGAGCAGGAUAAUGUGAGAAAAAGGGAUUGUAUACAUGUAUCUGUGACUGGGUCACCUCGCUGUGCAGUAGGAAACUGACAGAACACUGUAAACCAGCUAUAAUGGAAAAAAUACAAAUCAUUAUUAAAAGAAGGUUAAAUUUUUUAAAUUUAAAUAGAAAAAAAAAGAAAAGAAAAGAAAAA
Molecule: long non-coding RNA, 3466 nt
Filed under: Sus scrofa (pig)
Lineage: Eukaryota; Metazoa; Chordata; Mammalia; Artiodactyla; Suidae
Description: lncRNA (ENSSSCG00065007315.1)
Source: RNAcentral